CCCAUCCGGACAGGAGGAGGACAGACGGGUGAGCAGGUGCAUCUCAAACCUCUGCUGUGCUGCAUCUGCUAACACGGCCUUGGCUGCAGAGGCAGCUGUGGAGCCCGGCGCCAGCCACGGUGGACGUUUUCGCUCCCGAGGGGGGUACCGGCAAGGUGUGUGGUGAAGCAGCAACACCCCAGGGGUGACUCAGCCCACCUACCAGGACCCACCCUGCUGAGCGCGUGUGCUGGGGCUGGACCCACCAGCAGGCUCACUCCCCGCGCCUCCGUCCACAGUGAACAUGGACGUUUGGCUCUAGGGUAGAGUAAUUUGGGAUACCUUUUUAUUUCUAAAGUACUUGGGUGAUGAAGCACGAGGCAGUAGCCUUCAGUCUGCAAACCGGUAUCUCAACACCCCCUCUGAGCCUCGAAGGUGCCGGAGCCCAGGGUGGGCACGGGGACCUUCCGCGACGGUGCGCAACGGCAGUGACCUGGGGCCAGGUGACUGGCCAGGCGGCCAUGACCUGGCGGCCGUGACCUGGGCCAGGAGCAGUGGGGGGCCGGUCGGCACCCUCACGCCCGUACACCACACAAAAGCUUUCAGCAUCUACUGAAGUCUGUAAAUAGUCCCACCGUGGUCGGCACCAAGCCACCAACACGGCUUCAGCUGAGUCCCACAUUUCUGAACUUCUCCUGGUUGGCUGGUCUGAGCUGGUCGGGGACCGGGCACUCCAGGUCUUCCUCACUCUCACUGAAUUUUUAGAGCCAUCACUCGGCACGUUUGCAGAACCUCUGCCAAUAGCCAUCACCCGGGGCAAGAACAGAGAAAAAAGCAAGGAUGACAGAUUCUCUCCUGCUGCAGGAAUCCCUGAGGGCAGCUAAGGACGGCAACCGGAGCCCCAGCAAGGGGAAGGGCCUCGAGGCCUCUGAAGAGGGGGCAGAAAUGAAUAUGAUUGUCUGUGUUUUGCCGAUGAGAAAACUGUAAGAAUCUAUAAGAAAUGUAAAUUUAUAUCAUUCCCCAAGGCAGGUAAAUGGUCCCAAUAACCAAAUGCAAGGGACCGGACCUCAAAGCCACUUCUCCUUUGCACUCCUUUGCCCCUGGAGGACCUUCCCCUCAUUGCAAACUGGACAUUUUAAGCAUAAUCGGGCUGCUCCGGCAUGAUGCCACUAAGAAAAGGACUGAUUUAUUCUGACCGUGGUUAGUUUUGAAAAGGUACAGAUUAACAAGCAAACAAAAAAUAGCAUCACCAGAUGGUCGCGGGGAUUCUCACGGCCCAUUGAAGACAGUCACCAGAGCAGGCAGCUAGUUCUGUGCCAAGAACCCUUAGAAGGACCAGCUUGGGGUUGACGCUUGGCUUUUAUCGCCCCCCAGGGGCCCUGGGACGGUUUCUCAGCAUUUCUAGACCUGGACUUCCGGAUCCAUAAAGUGUGAACAUCACAGAGCUGUUGGGAGGAUGACAGGACAGGAGGGCGUCGAGCCUAUAGCACAGGGGCUGGGGAAUGAGCCGGGGUUUGUAUUUUGGGCGAUUGUUCUGGGGACGCUUCCCUGCUUGAGGAACGGUCAGUGUUCCGGGGCUCGUGGGUACUUGGGAUUUCAUAAAACGCUCUCUAUGCCUCUGAUUAUUGUGUGGAGGAUAUUCACUCAUCUAAUCUGUCCUAGAGCCUCGGCAAAGACUGACCCUAGCAGUAAACAAUGAGUUGAGUUGAGUUAAGAGCUAAAGCGCAGUCUUGCUGUUUUGUAAAUUCUCAGUUGCUUUGGAUGCAAAGGUCAAGGUCAGUCUUGAGAUCUCAGCCAAGGUGACCCAGCAGGAUGCUCCUGGAGACGUGGAGGGGUGUGUCCUACGGGGAGAAAUCUAUCAAACUCUUGGUCUAAUUCCUCCCAAAAUAUGUUCUCAGACCCGUUGAAUGGCCUGUACCCUCCUUCCAUCCUGACCAGUGUGUUGAGAACGAAGACACCCAGGACGAUAGUUCAGGAAUGUUCCCUGUCGGCAUGUUCUGGGCACUUCCAUGAGGCAAAGAGUGUUCCUUCAUGAGCACCAGCAGGUCCAAGGAUCCACGUUCUUCAGAUCAUGGCACAGAGCUGGCUUGUCACAAAUGUUCAGGGUCUGGAAUCAUCUCUCCAGGCCAGGAUGGGGGCCCCAGUCCUGUGCACACCCCACCUCAGUCCCCUGGAUGUCAGGGCCCCCAAUUACCCUUGAUGGGAACAGCUCGGGCAGCUUUUCCUUCAAGAGGGCCCUUCUCCUGCCAAGUCUGUCCUUGCAUCCUGGGACCUUCAAGCCCAAAUCUGGAAUAACUCUUUGCAGACACAGUGAAAGCGAAUAUGUCUAGAGUGAUUUAUGCGUCUGUUUGAACUUACAUUCCUAUGUUUCGCUGCUUGCUGUGGGCAAGAAUUUUCUGAUGGCUUAUGAUGAACAGAGUUUAUAUUAGAAGCUGCUGUUUACUUUCUGAGACAUGAAGUGGUAAUUUCAUUAAGGGCUUUCAUUAGAUCUUGGUAACUUGCAAGUUUUCUCCAGUUUCAUUUGCAUACAGAACGUUAUAAAUAUAAAGGGAAUUCUGGAUUUGUCAUUUAAAGAAAGAUCCAAAAUUGCAGAAUUGAGAUGGAUAACAUUGUUUUUAUAUAUGUACAGAUUGUCGCAAAGGUGUUCGUUAAAGUUUCCAUGGGAAGAGUCCGUGCUCCUUAGUCGUGAUAUAAGUGGUUUCAAUGAUCUCACAAGCUUAUCCAUUAUCUUCAAACAGGAAAUUUGUUUCUAAGCUCACCCUCAAGUCAUUGCAAAAUAUGAUGGGAGGAGAUCAAAAGGAACCGAGGCACAGAAACAUGAGACUGGUUUCAAAGGCCCUGCCUGUUUCCAGGACAAGGUUCCUUUCACAAUGAAGCUUGCUGGAUAAUAAAGUAUAUGUAUGGCUUCUCUGUCGGGAAUGAAUUUGGGGGAGGGUACUUCUCAGUAGUAAAAUGACUACAGUGGCAUCAUAAUUUUAACAAAAUUAAGGAAAUAAUUAAAAUAAACACAUUUUAUGCUAUGAGCUUUUCUGGAAAUUUCCUUUUUGUUUGUCACAUUGUGACUCAGUAACUAAAUGCUGGAAGGGUCUCGGGGCACUGUGAGGAAAAAGUGGGAAUUGGAGACUAUUUGCUGUUAGGUAUGGAGUACAAGGAUACAAUAGUGAUUCAGCCAAAAAAAACUCACUAGCAAAUUUAUAUCUCCAGUGAAGCUGAGUUCAUUUCACAUAACAGA
Molecule: long non-coding RNA, 3211 nt
Organism: Globicephala melas (long-finned pilot whale)
Lineage: Eukaryota; Metazoa; Chordata; Mammalia; Artiodactyla; Delphinidae
Source: RefSeq, a predicted model, not a curated record